CCUACGGGAGGCUGCAGUGAGGAAUAUUGGUCAAUGGGCGAGAGCCUGAACCAGCCAAGUCGCGUGAGGGAGUACUGCCCUAUGGGUUGUAAACCUCUUUUGUCGGGGAGCAAAAGCCGGACGUGUUCGGCUUUGAGAGUUCCCUUAUAAAAAGCAUCGGCUAACUCCGUUCCAGCCGCCGCGGUAAUAGGGGGGCUGCGGGGGUUAUCCGGAUUUAUUUGGUUUAAAGGGUGCUCAGGCGGAUUUUUAAGUCGGCGGUAAAAUCGUGGGGCCAAACCCCGAACAGCCGUUGAAACUGGGGAGCUAGAGUGUGCGAGAGGUAGGCGGAAUGCGUGGUGUAGCGGUGAAAUGCAUAGAGAUCACGCAGAACCCCGAUUGCGAAGGCAGCAUACCGGUGAACGACUGACGCUCAGGCACGAAAGCGUGGGGAUCGAACAGGAUUAGAUACCCGUGUAGUC
RNAcentral lists this ribosomal RNA (458 nucleotides) under uncultured bacterium. RNAcentral's name for it is "partial 16S ribosomal RNA". It matches the Rfam family "Bacterial small subunit ribosomal RNA", at positions 338 to 795 of the family's 1533-position model. The record is from RNAcentral.